GGGUAUAUCUCAGUGGUAGAGUGCUUGUCUAGCAUGCAUGAAGCCUUGGGUUCAAUUCCCAACAUUCA
This 68-nucleotide transfer RNA is filed under the name Marmota monax (woodchuck). RNAcentral describes it as "tRNA.Ala". The stretch from base 6 to 62 matches the Rfam family "tRNA", at positions 8 to 63 of the family's 71-position model. From Rfam's summary of the family: Transfer RNA (tRNA) molecules are approximately 80 nucleotides in length. Their secondary structure includes four short double-helical elements and three loops (D, anti-codon, and T loops). Lineage: Eukaryota; Metazoa; Chordata; Mammalia; Rodentia; Sciuridae. The record is from RNAcentral.